UUCAUUAAUCAGGAACGAAAGUUAGGGGAUCGAAGACGAUCAGAUACCGUCGUAGUCUUAACCAUAAACUAUGCCGACUAGGGAUCGGACGAUGUUAUAUUUUGACUCGUUCGGCACCUUACACGAAAGUAAAGUUUCUGGGUUCUGGGGGGAGUAUGGUCGCAAGGCUGAAACUUAAAGAAAUUGACGGAAGGGCACCACCAGGGGUGGAGCCUGCGGCUUAAUUUGACUCAACACGGGGAAACUCACCAGGUCCAGACACAAGUAGGAUUGACAGAUUGAGAGCUCUUUCUUGAUUUUGUGGGUGGUGGUGCAUGGCCGUUCUUAGUUGGUGGAGUGAUUUGUCUGCUUAAUUGCGAUAACGAACGAGACCUUAACCUGCUAAAUAGCCCGUAUUGCUUUGGCAGUACGCUGGCUUCUUAGAGGGACUAUCGGCUCAAGCCGAUGGAAGUUUGAGGCAAUAACAGGU
Molecule: ribosomal RNA, 469 nt
Filed under: uncultured fungus
Lineage: Eukaryota; Fungi
Description: SSU rRNA
Rfam family: Eukaryotic small subunit ribosomal RNA
Source: RNAcentral